UGGGGUGUGGCUCAGUGGUAGAGCACCUGCCUAGAAUCCCCCAGUGAGGGGCUGGGGUGUGGCUCAGUUGCAGACUUGUCUAGUAUGUUGCAGUACCCUGGAUUCCAUCCCCAGUGCCCCAC
RNAcentral lists this transfer RNA (122 nucleotides) under Neotoma lepida (desert woodrat). It matches the Rfam family "tRNA". Rfam says of the family: Transfer RNA (tRNA) molecules are approximately 80 nucleotides in length. The record is from Rfam by way of RNAcentral. Lineage: Eukaryota; Metazoa; Chordata; Mammalia; Rodentia; Cricetidae.